UACAGAGGUCUCAAGCGUUGUUCGGAUUCACUGGGCGUAAAGGGUGCGUAGGUGGCGAAGUAAGUUGGAUGUGAAAGCUCCGAGCUUAACUCGGAAAUGGCAUUCAAAACUACUUUGCUAGAGGGUUGGAAGGGGGACUGGAAUUCUCGGUGUAGCAGUGAAAUGCGUAGAUAUCGAGAGGAACACCAGUGGCGAAGGCGAGUCCCUGGACAACUCCUGACACUGAGGCACGAAAGCUAGGGGAGCAAACAGG
Molecule: ribosomal RNA, 253 nt
Filed under: uncultured bacterium
Lineage: Bacteria
Description: partial 16S ribosomal RNA
Rfam family: Bacterial small subunit ribosomal RNA
Source: RNAcentral